RNAcentral lists this ribosomal RNA (542 nucleotides) under Penicillium sp. PX-2011a. Its description in RNAcentral is "eukaryotic LSU rRNA". The stretch from base 174 to 326 matches the Rfam family "5.8S ribosomal RNA". Lineage: Eukaryota; Fungi; Ascomycota; Eurotiomycetes; Eurotiales; Aspergillaceae. The record is from RNAcentral.
ACGAGCUGAGGCCUUUGGGUCACCUCCCACCCGUGUUUAUUUUACCUUGUUGCUUCGGCGGGCCCGCCUUUACUGGCCGCCGGGGGGCUCACGCCCCCGGGCCCGCGCCCGCCGAAGACACCCCCGAACUCUGUCUGAAGAUUGAAGUCUGAGUGAAAAUAUAAAUUAUUUAAAACUUUCAACAACGGAUCUCUUGGUUCCGGCAUCGAUGAAGAACGCAGCGAAAUGCGAUACGUAAUGUGAAUUGCAAAUUCAGUGAAUCAUCGAGUCUUUGAACGCACAUUGCGCCCCCUGGUAUUCCGGGGGGCAUGCCUGUCCGAGCGUCAUUGCUGCCCUCAAGCCCGGCUUGUGUGUUGGGCCCCGUCCUCCGAUUCCGGGGGACGGGCCCGAAAGGCAGCGGCGGCACCGCGUCCGGUCCUCGAGCGUAUGGGGCUUUGUCACCCGCUCUGUAGGCCCGGCCGGCGCUUGCCGAUCAACCCAAAUUUUUAUCCGGGUUGACCUCGGAUCAGGUAGGGAUACCCGCUGAACUUAAUCAUAUCGAU